Molecule: long non-coding RNA, 10679 nt
Organism: Hypanus sabinus (Atlantic stingray)
Lineage: Eukaryota; Metazoa; Chordata; Chondrichthyes; Myliobatiformes; Dasyatidae
Exons: 5
Source: RefSeq, a predicted model, not a curated record
UAAACGUAGAAAUCCACAAUCAGUUCUAUUGCAUUCAAUCAACACCAAAAUAGAAAUGUCAGGUACAGUAUAUGUAAAGUUAAAUUAAACAAAAAAAUAUGCAGGAAAACUUAACAUUAUGUUUGAAAUAUAGAGCAAGCAACAGUUCUGUAUGUUAUUUGUGGGUUACAAACUCAGCCAGCUCCAUCAUGAGCAUUGUCCUUCCCUGCAUCAAGGGCACCUUCAAAAGGCAACGUCCAUCAUUAAGGAACCCCAGCACCCAGGACAUGCUCCCUUCUCAUUACUACCAUCAGAGAGGGCAUACAGGGGCCUCGAAACACACACUCAUUGUUUUAAUCAGCCAAUGCUCUGCAACUUUACAACACCAUCUCUUUCAGUUCCAUAAGGAAAUGAAAGAAAUUCAUGAUUUUAUUUACUUCUCUCAAAUUAAUCCAUGCACCAACUGCAUGCUCUGGUGUUAAAUGACUCAAUGGAGGCAUGGAAAUUUAACACCACACUGAUGUUUAAAUGUUCACUGUGAACUCACACAUAAUCUUCCUUCAGGUAAACUUUAGCAAUUAAAUUCGAGCUUUCAUGGAAUCUGUGGUGAUAUUUGUUUCCUAUGAUGUCCAAGUGAUUGCAACUAGUAUAAUGUUCUAAAGGUCAUUCAAAAGAUAGUUGCUCAUUAAUGCAACAAUCUAAUUAGCCAAUCAUGUGGCAGCGACUCAAUGCAGACAUGAUCAUGUCCAGAUCAAAGAUCAGAAUGGGGAAGAAACAUUAUCUAAGUAACUUUAACCAUGGAAUGACUUUUGGUGCCAGGUGGGGUGAUUUGAGUAUCUCAGAAACUGCUGAUCUCCUUGGAUUUUCAGACACAUCAUUCUCUAGAGUUUACACCCACAAAAUGCUGGAGGAAAUCAGCAGGUCAGGCAGCAUCUGAAACUGUCAAUGUUUCAGACCGACUCCCUUCUUCAAGACUGAGAAGGAAAGGUGAAGGAGACUAGGUGGAAGGUGAUAGGUGGUUGGGGAAGGUCAAGGGCUGGAGAAGAAAUAAACUGAUAGGAGAGGAAAGUGGACCAUAGGAGAAAGGGAAGGAGGUAGGGAGCCAGGAGGAAGAGAUAGGCAGCUGAGAAUGGGGUAAAAUGUCAGAGUGAGGAAUAGGGAAGGGGGGGGGAGAAAAGUUUUUUACCAGAUGGAGAAAUCAAUGUUCAUUAUUAUUAUUAUUAUUCGAUAUUCACUCUAGAGUUUACAGAGAAUGGUGUGAACAACAUUUCUCUGGGCGUAAACACUUUGGUAUUGAAAGAGGUCAGAGGUCUCACUUUGAAGUGAAAGGGCCACCGUAGCAGAUGACCACACUCGGUUCCACUCCUGUGCCUAAUAAAGUGGCCACUGGGUGUAUCUUGGAAUGAUACAGGAACUUGCUAGAUAGCUAGGUAGAUAGAUACUUUAUUGAUCCCAAAGGAAAUGAGGGCAUCACAGUAGCAUUACAAGUGCACAGAUAUAAAUAUUAGAAGAGAAGUAGAAAGAAUAAAAAAUAAUUUACCACAAAGAGUCUACAGGAGGAGGUCAUUGCUUCCCUGGCUAUGGAGCCUAAUUGCCGAGGGUAAGAAUGACCUCAUAUAUCGCUCUUUGGAGCGGAACAGUUGUCUUAGUCUAUUACUAAAAAUGCUCCUCUGUUCAGCCAAGGUGGCAUGCAGAGGGUGAGAAGCAUUGUCCAGAAUGGCCAGAAUUUUCUGUAGGAUCCUUUGUUCUACCACUCUGGUUUGACUAUUAUAAUAGAGCCAGCCUUUCCAAUCAGUUUAUGGAGCCUGUUAGCAUCAGCUGGGUUGAUGCUAUUGCUGAACACACCACCACAUAGAAGACUGCACUGGCAACAACAGACUGGUAGAACAUGUGAAGGAGAGUCAUUAACAGGGAUAUCAUUAAAAGGCUGCUGGACUGGUGUGACUUCCUAAAGAUUGGCAAUCAUUUUCAUAAGGAAAAGUUUUCAGCUGGAGAGCUAGACAAUGCUAUAAAAUAAGAGGCAUUUUCUUGUUUAAUAAUUCAGAGUGCAUUGUUGUUGUUGGCAAUGCUACCAUGUAUUAUCCAUCUUACACUGUCUCUGAAACUGAGGAGACAACAGAAAUUUAAAGGCAUAAUACCAUGUCAUUUUAUUAUGUUGUAUCAAUUUCCUCAUACUUUUGCAUGUAGAAUGACUCACUCCCACAUACGGCAGACAUGAAGGUUGCCAACUCAUGAAGAAGUGAUAAACUUAUUUGGUAAAUGGUGUAUUGCUCCUUGAAUAAAUUUCUAUAUAUGAUCAUUACUACUCUGGGUAAUUUACAGAGACAGCAAAAAAUGAGUUUAGACGAAUCAUAAAACAAAGCAUACCAGUUCACUUAGAGUCUUCAAUUGAAACCCCGGUUUGGUAAUGAUGCUUAAUAUCUUUAACAGAAUUUCUCAAUGGUUUAUGUAAAGCAAUGGGGAUGCUUCUGAAUUAACUGGUAAAGCUUCAAUUUUUCUGAUUCUUUGGAGUAGUCAGCAAUAGAAAAUCAAGAUAUUAUUUCUCAACCAGUCACCAUCUCCCAAAAUGAGGAGAAAUUUUCUAGCAUCUAGACCUGUGCUCUUUCAUUUGUCCCCCCACCUCCCACAUCUCUCUUCUCCAUCAUCCCUCAGUUUGUUUCUCAAUAUAUAUUUAAACACACUUCUAAUAAUCUGUAAUUAAAGUUGCUUGAAUUGUUUCAAAACUUUCUCACGAUGUGUACAGCAUAUCGAUGACAAUGCUCCUGUUCAUCGUCCACCCCUGAAUUGAUGAGGCAAUUAUGAGUUAACAAUAUCAGUAUGCCUGAAGUCACUUAUGUCAGACUAAGUAAGAAUAAUGAAUUUGCUUCCCUGGAGCAUUUCAAAACUGUUCCCGGGUCUUGUCUAAAAUUUCAACCCAGAUGCAGACACUUUAACCAAAUGUGUUCAUCACCUACGAGGGUUAAUAUUGAAAUAAUUAAAUCCAGGCAACAACACUUGAUAACUACUGUAUAUAAUAAAGUAAUUCCAUGAUAGCAUAUUUUAUUUAUUAUGCUGAUAGAGGAUAUUAUUUCAGGGAAAGGUUAAAGGUUCAGAUUUUGCUUGGCUGUUUUAGUUUAAAGAACUUAAGACCUUCCAGAAUUGUAUUGUCGUUUGUGAAUGUGAACCUUACUAAUGAGGCCAGCAUUUUCUGAACCAGCUUAACCACUAUUACUGAAUAGGCAGUAGUGAACUGCCAUCUUGAACUGUUUCAGCCUAUGCAAUGAAAACACUUCCGUUUCUGUUAGAUCUGGAAUAACAAGAUUCCAUAAAGAUAAAGAAUAACAAACUGUUUUCAAAUCAGAACAAGAUGUCAAUUGAUGAGAGCUUACAGGCAGUGGAACUCCUACAUACCUACUGUCUGUACUUGAAAGUGUCACAAGUCAUAGUCAUUGGAUGCACUAGUGAAAAAACCAUAGCAAGUGCUUCUUUUAGAGGGUGAACAUCUCAGCCAGCGAGAGGUGACUAAAAUGAGCAGAUGAUUAAAAUGGCAAAUGGGAAGCUGGUCUCUCUUUCAGCUCCUCCCACUUUCUCCAGACUCAAGGGGUAGCCAUGGGCACCAGCUAUGCCUGCCAUCAUGUUGGCUAUGUAGAGCAGUCCAUGUUCCAAGCCUUCCCCGGUAAUGCCCCCCAACUCUUGCUCCUCUGCAUUGAUGACUGCAUUGGUGCCGCUUCAUGCACACAUGCUGAGCUCCUCAAUUUCAUCAACUUUGCCUUUAACUUCCACUCUGUCUUUCAACUCAAUACCAUUUCUGACAUCUCCCUCCCCAUUCUCAAUCUUUCUGGCUCCAUCUCUGGAGGCAAACUGCUGAUUGACAUCUUGUCUAAUCCUACUGAUACCCAUGGUUGUCUUGACUAUACCCCUUUGCAGCCUAUCUCCUGUAAACAUGCUAUUCUGUUUUCUCAGUUCCUUCAGCUCUGUUCCCAGGAUAGGGCUUUCCUUUCUAGGACAUCAGAGAUGUCCUCCUUCUUCAAAGAAUAGGGUUUCCUAUCUUCCACCAUUGAUGCUGCCCUCUCCCGCACCUCCUCCUUUUCCCAAACAUCCACGCUCACCCCAGCCUCUCACUUAACAGAGUUAGAGUUCCUCUUGUACUUACUUGUGACCCCCUGAGCCUCCAUGAGCCUUCGGCUUGUGCCAAGAUGAGGCCACUCUCAAGGCGAGGAGCAACACCUUAUAUUCUAACUGUGUAGCUUGCAACCUGAUGAAAUGAAUAUUUAUUUCUCCUUCCAGUAAAAAAAGUCCCUUCUCCUCCCUUCUUCUUCUAUCAGCACUUUGACCUCUUACCUUCUCUCACCUGCAUAUCACCCUACCCCGCACGGUAUCUCCCCCCUUCCCUUUCUCCUGUUGCUCACUCUCCUCUCCUGUCAGAUUCCUUCCUUUCAUCCCUUUAUCUUUCCAACCCUUCUGGCUUCACCUUUGAGCUAUCCUUCUUUCCCUCCUCCCACCUUUUCAUUCUGGCAUCUCCCCCCUUCCUCUACAGUCCAGAAGAAGGGUAUCAGCCCAUAACACCGACUAUUCAUUCAUCUCUUUAGAUGCCGCCUGACCUCCUGAGUUCCUCCAGCAUUCUACAUGUGUAGCUGGUGAAAAAAAGUUGCUUUGUGAUGAGUUAUUGAGAAGUUUGCAUGCUGCUGGACCUAUCACAGCAAGUGGAAAGUGCUCCACAAUGCGCCGGAAUUGUGCUUUGUUGAUGUUCAAAAGGUUUGGGGAGCCAGUCAUUGCAAAUGCUGAAUAUCUAAUCCCACAGUAUUUUUGUGGGUGGGUCUGUUCCCCCAACCCCUCCCAGACAGUCAAUAUUCAGACAGAUUCACUGACAACAGUGCAGUUGUAUGUCAAAAGAGGGCGAAUAAACGCCCUUUUGAUGGUCACGUGCUGGAAAUAUGUGGUGUGAACAUUACUUUUCUUUUACCAGUCCAUGCCUCAGUGUUAUCAGGUCUUAAAAUGUGUGGCCUGGUAUCUGAUGUACUUCAACAGUACUGAACGCAACCUUGAAGGAAUGAUGAACGCAGUUAUGAUCUCUGGCCGAAGAAGGCUGUUGAUGGACACCAUGGUAAUGUAGCCGUUAGUGCAACACUAUUAACACUUGAGGUGCUUCUGAAUUUGAAGUUCAAUGCCAGUGCAUCUGCAAGGAGUUUGUAUGUUCUCCCCAUGGACCGCGUGGGUUUCCUCUGGAAGCUCCUGUUUCCUCUCACUGUCCAAGGAUGUUCCAGCUAGGUUAAUUGGUCAUUGUAACUUGUCCUGUGAUUAGGCUAGUGUUAAAUAGGUGAGCUGCUGGGCAACACAGCUCAUUGUGCCAGAAGAGCCUGUUCAGGGCCUCUGGUCCCUCUCUCAAGUUAUCUCCUUGCCCCUCCGUUGCCUCCCUCUUGUGCUUCUCUUAAAACUAACAAAGGAUUUCAAUCUUAUAAAAAGUGUCCAAACUACAAAGAAUUUCUAAAACACAAUUUCCAAAACACAGGUACAAUUCUUAUAACUAAAAAGAAUGAGUCAUCUAUCACAGAAAUUGUAGACAAAGGAAUGGAUUCUAGUCACCUUAACUUUCUGUCAUUCUUCUUGUCAACCCUUGCCUAUUCCUAACAAGCGUGACUGCUCUCUGAUAUUUGUACUGCCUUUAUUCGUUACUUAGUGAUAUUUUUUCAGAAACCUUUGCUGGGAAAUUCAUAUGGAUGGUCUAAAACUUCCCGGAAAUGACACCCGAAAUGAAAGCCACAAGAGCUGACUCCCUGAUCAGCUAUUUCAUCUGCUAAGUGAUUGUAUCAGUCUGGUCAGCAAGCUUCCUUGAACUAGAGAAAAUAACAUAGCCAGGUCCAGUUAACACUACCCUGUUAUCUCUUGAGCAGCUAACCCCAUGCUGGGCAGGCAUCCUGUGCUCUAUAGACCAUUCUGUUUGUUUACAAAGAUGCCCUUUUAACUUCAGACUGAUUAUUGCUUGCAGGUUAUACUAAUAACUAAAAACUGACUCUUGUUUGCAGCAGGAAGCUGAACAAGUAUUUGUUGGGAGUUUGACUUACUCAAAAGCAACUCCUUGGUUCCUGGAAGAAUCAGCUGCUGUGUUAGAAAGCUGAGCUUGUCAAAAAGGUCCCCAGGCCCUGGACAGUGAACAUCCAUCACAACUGCAGUCUGUGAUGUGUAGCUUUUUAUUUUGUAAGGUUCACUAAUUCAGUUGAGAGAGCAGUAACUGAUGAACACUGAAUCAAUGCAAGGACCGAACACUUAAAAAUCAUGUAUGUCCCCAAGAGAGAGAAAAAAAACUGGAGCGUUUACAAACACAAAAAGAACACAAGACCGUAAGAUAUAGGAGCAGAAUUAUGCCAUUUGGCCCAUCAAGAUUGCUCCACCAUUCCAUCAUUUAUUAACUCUCACACGCUCAUUCUCCUGCCUUUCCCCAUUACCUUUAAUGCCUUUUACCAAUCAAGAAAAUAUCAACCUUUGCUUUAAAUAUACCCAAUAGCUUGGCCUCCACAGCUGGUGAAUUCCACAGAUUCACCACCCUCUGGCUAAAGAAUUUCCUCUUCAUCUCUGUUCUAAAGAACUUUGCCUUAGACAGUUCCAAGCCUGGCUUGAAAAGAGGAGGUUGGGCAUGGGGCUAGCAACUCCAUCCUGUAAAAAUCCAGAGGUAUGGAAAUGGCAACAGAAGCUCCAAAGACCUCAUCCCUGGAAGAGGAAGUAUUUUCAAAGAUGGGCUAAAGACUGGCUCAGGACAGAGGACUCUGCUGAGCUGCUGUCGGCGGCCCAUGCCCUAGGAGAGGUGAUGGGUUUAAGUUAGAAAAGAAACUCUGAUCUAAAGGAACAUCCAUGAAUCCUAAGGCUGUACACUCUGGUCCUACACUUCCCCACUAUAAGAAACAUCCUCUCCGCAUCCACUCUACCUGAGCCUUUCAAUGUCGGAUAGAUUUCAAUGAGAUGCCUCCCUCAUUCUUCUAAACUCCAGUGACAACAGUCCCUAUAAAAGGUCAUUUAAUUAUUUCCAAAAUAAAUAUUAUAAUAAAGUAUCUGUUUCUUAUUUUAGAAACCACUCAGUUCUUCCAGGAACACAAGGUGAUGCUGAGUACUACUCUCAGGAAGUACUUGGAGCAACUUCAUUGGUUUCUAUUUUCUUCCUCAUUGGCAGGUUUAUUGGUGUUUGCUGACUGAUGACGGUUGACUUAUGUUUUCAUAUGUGUAUCCAGAACUCUCUUUAAUUCAUUCCUGCUUCUCACGGCUUCCCAGUACCGGCUCCACUGAGAUUUACUGCAGCUUAAAUACAAAGUAACACCCCAUCAACUGCAAACAAGACGUGAACAUUUGCCGAUUUUCUGAACAUGACCCUGGUGUGUAUGACCAGCGGGACAAAUGGAUUCGAAAUAAAUGUGCAUUGCAAAUAUCUUAUGUUUUUGUGACGUCCAUUAAUAUAGACUGCGGUUUCAAUAGGGAAAGAACGACGCAAUUCUAUUUUGAUAUUUCGCAUCGUCGUGCGUGUUAAUCAAUAACGUAAAACAAAAAGAUUAUAGUUGAGUAAUUUCUGUGGUAAGAAGUGGUAAAUGUCUAUGUGAUUAUACUAAGUGGCCAGCCUGAUCUCGAGUACAGAAUGUAUCUGUUAAAUGAAGGGAGUGACCGCAAUGUCUUUUAUUCGACUUACAACGAGCUUUUAAAGUUGCAAACCAGAGGUUCUGUAAAUGUACACCAUUUCUCAGUGGAAGGAAAAGAGUGACGUAGCAAAUGUUUCGAGUAAUUUUUAUAAUCCGAUUGCAAGUGGAAGGAAGAUUGGUAUUUAUUUAACGAUUUCAAUCCUUGAAGAAGCAGGAGUUUUAUCGAGUGUUCGUUGCCCGUGUGGCUCCCGUUACUAUAUUUAGUAGCCGGGUGAACUGCGAAUUGACGUUAUCGUCGGCUCAUCCUGUCCCCCCAGCACAGGUAAUUAAUCAUCCACACUGGUGCGAAUCAACUGCCCAGAUCGAGCUUCCAGCAGGUUAAAAGCGUGGCCAGAGGAUGAAGGCCGUUUAUAACAGCGCCGGGUGCGUGGAAAAGUCACGUCUGAAGGCUGACUUCAUCUUUGCAAUACUUUUAAAUCCUCCACACCGCAGGCGGGCAAGCACUAAAUAAAAUGCAACUUCUUCAAGAUUCUGCUGUCUUGGCUGUUGGUUUUAUGCCUUACCCUAUUUUGGCAGGUAAAGGUUCCUUUGAAGACCCUGACCUGGAGUUACACGUGGACUUUGGUUCUUGGUGAAAAUGGGACCCGCUUUUGGGGCCUCACGAAUGCCAAGGAUGCAGCCUGGAAGACUAGUGUGCCUUCAGGAUGCCAGAUUUUCGUGGAUCUGGCAGGGCUGGUGGACUCGAGGUAAUUUGCAGAAAAAUGAAAAUAAGGAGGACACUUCUUUCAAGACACAUAAGUGUGGUUUUUGCUCGCCUUUGAUAAAGAACCCAGCAUUUCUGUGUGCUAUUUAUCUAUGAAUUUGGUCCUAUCCCAGCAUGUGAAGACAGACUCCGGUGGAUUUAGCAGACGAGAUCAAUGGAAGGUCCAACGGUACAACUCUACUGGCUGUCAAUGGAGUAGCAGUGUUUUUAUAGCUGCUCCUACUCUACUUAAUUUACUGUUUCCAACUUGUUUUGAAAACUUACUUUUAAACGCAAUAUUGUUUUACGAUGAGGGGCUCCAAAGCUACUAAAAAAGAAGAGAACCCUCCUAUAACUUUGGAAUCUGUUAUAGAGGCACUUCAGAAGCAUAAAAAUGAACUUUCAGAGCAGUUCCAGCAAAAAUUCUGGCAACUCAGCUCUGAAUUUAAACAAACGGAUGUAAAAUUGGAUUCUAUUCAAAAAAACUUUAAGUGAACAUGAUAAAUGGAUAAAAGAGAAUGAAGACACUUUGAUGAUGUUGUAAACAUUCAAAGAUUAAUGAAAAAUUAAGACAGAAGAUUAUCGACUUAGAAAAUAGAAGCAGAAGAAAUAAUUUAUGAAUUCUGGGUUUUAAAUGGAAGGCAAUCAGCCUUCAGAAUUUUUCGCAAAACUUUUGGCUAACUUAUUUCUAAAUAUUUAAAAAUCUCCACCUAAAAUAGACCGAGCUUAUAGAUCUCUAGUACCGAGACCUCCUCCAGAAGAACAACCCUGUUCAGUGAUAAUCAGUCUUCACGAUUUUCAAACAAAGGAACUUUUAAUUCGUGAACCUCGUUGGAAAGGUAUAAUUGAUUAUGAAGACCAGAAGAUCAGAAUUGUGGAGGAUUUUUCACCUGAGGUGUUGAAUCAACGCUUCAAGUUUAAAAAGAUGGUGUCUGAAUUGUAUAAUACAGGUUUUAAACCUUCUCUUCAUUACCCCACUCGUCUUAGAAUCAUUUUGAAAAAUGGCUCUCAGAAAUGGUUCUGUUCGACUCAAGAGGUGCAGGAUUAUUUAAUUUCCGAAUCAGUACCAGGUUUAACUGUUCAAUAAUUCCCUACAUAAAUCUACGUUGCAUGUGCCCGAGGAAUCCUUUUUUUAGAAUCAGCAGUCUAACUGUUCAUUACUUUUUUUUAUGAAUAAUUGUUUUUUUUUACAUUUGGUAUACCUUCUUAUAUAAUUUUUCUUUGUACUUUUAUUUCUUUGCUUAGAAAAUUAAGGAUUUAACAUUAGUAAGUUUUCAUUGAGUUAAUACUUUUCAAGUCAAUAUGUUCUGAAUUUUCUUCAUUCUUUUUAAUAUUUCAUACUAUAUUUUCUCCUGUGGUUUUAUUAAUAACUUUAAUUUUGCUCUGUUUUAUGUUGUGUCUUGUUGGAAGCAGGUAGCCUUGAAAAAAUUUUUGGAGCUCAGCUAGUAGUUUGUUUUGGGAGGGUAACGUGGGUAGAUUUAACUGUCGACUGCCCUUUGGUUGACUUUCUCUCUUUGGGUGGAGGGUGGAUUUCUUCUUUUCUAUCAGCUGUUUGGUUCUCUUAGCUUCAUUUGUUGCUUGGUUACUUUAUCUUAAAGCUCAUUGUUUGGAUUUAAUAUAUAUUCCAGUGGUUUUUAUUCUAACCUCUUUUUUCUGUAAUAUUUUAAAUGGAUCAUGCUAUUAAUUUACUUAGUUUUAAUGUGAAAGGAUUAAACCAUCCUGUGAAACGUAGUGAGAUAUUUAAUUAUUUUAAUAAAGUGAAUGACUCAAUUUUUUUUUACAAAAAACACGUUCGUAAAUGUGAUAAUUUAUGUCUUUUCAGCUGUUGGAAGGGCUUAUUUUUUCUUUCCUCCUUUCAGGCUAAGGCCAGAGGAGUUUCGAUUCUUAUAGACAAUUCAGUUUCUUUUGUUCAACAUAAUGUAGUAUCUGACACCAAUGGGCAUUUUGUCACAGUCUCAGGGAUAUUGGAUAAUAAAUUAAUGGUUUUUACUCAUUUGUAUGCCCCGAAUAUGAUCCAGGUUUUUUUGAACGCGUUUUUUCACUUUUACCAGAUAUAAGUCUGUAUUCUCUGGUGUUAGGAGGAGAUCUCAACUGUUGUUUAGAUACUGUUUUAGAUUGCUCAUCUUUUAAAUGAUUGAUUUUUAGUAGGUCUGCCUUCUUUUCUGAUGAAAUGUGAUAUUGCUGAUAUUUGGCGCUUUUUGCAUCCAACAGAUAAAGACUACUCAUUUUUUUUUCUCAUGUUCAUCAUACGUAAUCCAGGAUUGAUUUUUUUUUGUUGAUAGCCAAUUGAUUCCAUUGGUUCAAUCCUGUGAAUAUAAAGAAAUUGCUGUUUCAGAUCAUGCUGUGUUUUUAUCUUUCAA